This 1318-nucleotide long non-coding RNA is filed under the name Citrus sinensis (sweet orange). RNAcentral describes it as "long non-coding RNA (CSIN_LNC004458)". The record is from RNAcentral. Lineage: Eukaryota; Viridiplantae; Streptophyta; Magnoliopsida; Sapindales; Rutaceae.
UGCUUUGUCAGUUCCUUAAAAUUACAUUUAUUGCUUUCUGUUCACUCAUGAAUCUGAACACAAUAAAUUGCGAAUACUGCACACAUUGACUUGAGUCUAUGGCUGGAAAUCUAAACAACCGUGGUUUCAAAUUAAAAAUUUUCACUUUCAUUUUCAAAGGUCUGUUAGCUAGCAGAAGAAAUUGCGUGGAAAAGAAGAUACGUUUUGUCGAAAAAUCUGUCCAAGGACUUGGUGUUAAGGAAAGACUUUGAAUGGUAAGAGUUUCUUCACUUUUCUUCUGCUUUUAAUGCACUAAAUGGUGAACCCAUUUGGUCUUUCCAAGUUGGUACUGGCAAAAGCCUAACUGAAUGCAGAAAAAUAUUCAACUUGACACCUCAGGCAAUUAAGACACUACUUCCUAGACAAUGAAUUCAAUUCAAAUUUUCUGAAGUUAAAAUUUAUACAAUUACGAAUAAUCAUGAACACAUUUCAUGCAGAUGACAGAUGAGCACAAGUAAUAAAUCAUAAAUUAGAUCUUUAAAUUAAUAAAUCGUAAAUUAGAUUCCACAACAAUAGAAUUAAUCAACACUCGUAUCAUAUCAAGUUCUUUUUAUCACUUAAGUUACCACGAACAGCUGUGACAACCGGGAGGCUUUACAGUGGCCGAUGGGAGCUGCAACUGUUAGGAUGCUAUUGUGCUGGCUGAGGCUGAUUCGCUGACUUUGCUAUCAUGAGCUGAGCUAGGGCUACCGUGAGGCAUGAGAUACUGUCGUGGGCUGCUGUGGUCGAUUCAGGCCGUCAGCAGCGAUGCUGUCGUGGACUCGUGAGGCUGUGUUGGCUGUCGUGGUGUGCUGUCCUGGCUGUCGUGCCGACGUGGAAGCAACCGGCGGCCAAAUUCGAGAGAGAAGGAGUCGAGGAGAUGCUGGCUGCUAGUGUUCGUUCUGUGGUUUUGGGAAAUUGUCAUUUGUCAAUUGGGAUCGGGUUGCACCGUAAGAGUUUUAGUUUUUUUUUUUUUUUCAAUGUAAGCGGUUGUUACUAUUAACCGAAUUGCAAAACCAAUCGGGUUAAAGAAUUUAAUCCGAUUGAUUUUUAGGUUAAUCCGAACUGAACCAAAUCAAAAGUUGAAUAAAAAUUUAAGUUCGGACCUGAAUAAAAAGCCACCAAUUAUAUGCAAUCAAUUGAUUUAUGCAAGUAAAGGUUGUGUCAAAGUCAUGGGCGGUUUGGCACCAUUAACAUAUUUCAAAAUGGCCACCCAAAUUGAAGGCCAAGUAGAUGCCGCCCAAGGAAAGAAACAAAAGAGAAAGAAGAAAAGAAGAAAGAGAGAAGAAAAAGAGAUGUC